CCCCCCCCCCCACACGUUGAUGCAGAACUUAGACUGCUUGACUUUUCGUGGGAUUGCGGAAUAUGGUCUCACAUCGGCAUUGGUGAUCAAACAUCUGCGUCGAAGGGUAACAUUCCAGUUGCUGGAUCUAAUGCAUCUAAGAAUGUCAAUCUGUGUAAGACGUGCAGACAUCAUGGGGGGAUGCUAGAUCCGCCUGGCUCCCUGUAUGCCAACUGCGAGCCUUGCUAAAUAUUUGUUUGCCUUGAUUCAUAGCUGGCGUUCAGGGAGUCAAGCAGACCUUGCGUCUUGCCAUGGUCUGCGGUGUACAAUAGCAUCCGAGCCAGGUAGACUAUCAGUUUUACCAUAACCUGCUCUGCCCUAUCCCACACACAGAUGGAAGUAUUGAGUUGGAAACUACUUCCUUGAAGGUCAAAACAGACCUGCUUCAGAGCACUGACAUUGCUACAUUCCCACUUCAAACUAGCAAACGCAGCCAGGUAAUUACAAUAUCGAAGAACACGAUGUUUCAAUCCUUGAAUGAAAUCCACGAGGCAAGUCCAAACCUGAUCAUGAAUGCAGGAAGAGUGAAGGUCUAGAAAUUGGGGGAUAUUGGAUCCGCCUGGCUCCCUGCAUGCCACUUGCGAAUCUUGCCAAACGUUUUGUCGGGGUUCAUGGCUGGCGUGUGGGGGGUCAGACAGGCCAUACAUCUCAUCAAGUUUUGAGUCACUUAGUGAUCGUGAAUGUUAACGUCAUUGUCAAAUACGCAUCUAUAGUCGAAUAAGUAGUUCUACCCUGACGUGUUUUAUCAAUGUAUAGCUUGCUGGGGGCUUGAUGCUUGCAGAGGCUUUUCUCUUCAGAUAAUGUUCCUUCAUGACAAAAGACAGAUAAAAGGACAGCUACAGGAAAGACCAAUCAACCAGCAGCUACUCGGAAGAAACUAUCAACGAAGCAGCCAUUACCAAUGUAGCUGGAAGACCGUAGUAAAGAAAUAGAAAGACUGGAUCGAUCUGGCUCCCUGUAUGUCAGCUGCAAACCUUGCCAAUCGCUUUGCCAGAAUUCAUACCCUGCGUCAAGGUAGUCAAGCAGACAUAAUGUCUUGGUACAAUAUUCCGGGUCUAAUUCACGGUUUCAUACAGUUCACCUACUGAUUCCUUCUAAGAUUUGAUCACGUAGUUAAGCAUCUGAACAGGAGGCCUGUUGAGACAUUUGUCGUCGACUAGUAAAUCGGUCCUUCUGAAACGGGUCUGCAGACCAACUAUGAUAAUGAAUGUAGGAAACCCAGUGCAGAAAGUAGGGAUGUUGGAUCUGCCUGGCUCCCUGGAUGCCACCUGCGAACCUUGCGAAUAGUUUCGACAGGAUUCAGUGCACUGAUGCUCAAAGGCUACGUAAUACGUCUAGUUCGUGGCGUAUUGCGAAAGAAUAGUUGGUGCACCAAGUGUUUGUUUUUGUAAAGAACUCUCUUUGAUAUGACUUCGGGUUUUCUACAAA
Molecule: non-coding RNA, 1467 nt
Organism: Physcomitrium patens
Lineage: Eukaryota; Viridiplantae; Streptophyta; Bryopsida; Funariales; Funariaceae
Source: RefSeq, a predicted model, not a curated record